UGCAGCGACAUACCGCGUGAGGGACGAAGGCCUGUGGGUUGUAAACCUCUUUUCUCAGGGAAGAAGAUCUGACGGUACCUGAGGAAUCAGCAUCGGCUAACUCCGUGCCAGCAGCCGCGGUAAGACGGAGGAUGCAAGCGUUAUCCGGAAUUAUUGGGCGUAAAGCGUCCGCAGGCGGUCUCGUAAGUCUGUCUUUAAAGCGUGGAGCUUAACUCCAUAAAGGGGAUGGAAACUGCGAGACUAGAGGUAGGUAGGGGUAGAAGGAAUUCCCAGUGUAGCGGUGAAAUGCGUAGAUAUUGGGAAGAACACCAGCAGCGAAGGCGUUCUACUGGACCAAACCUGACGCUCAUGGACGAAAGCUAGGGGAGCGAAAGGGAUUAGAUACCUCUGUAGUCA
This 396-nucleotide ribosomal RNA is filed under the name Oscillatoriales cyanobacterium enrichment culture DGGE band GH1. RNAcentral's name for it is "bacterial SSU rRNA". It matches the Rfam family "Bacterial small subunit ribosomal RNA", at positions 384 to 796 of the family's 1533-position model. The record is from RNAcentral. Lineage: Bacteria; Bacillati; Cyanobacteriota; Cyanophyceae; Oscillatoriales.